Momordica charantia (bitter melon) is the source of this 3471-nucleotide RNA transcript. It is a transcript of the gene named casein lytic proteinase B4, with no coding region annotated. NCBI's taxonomy places the organism in Eukaryota, Viridiplantae, Streptophyta, Magnoliopsida, Cucurbitales, Cucurbitaceae. The record is from RefSeq and is a predicted model, not a curated record.
AUUUGUCAGCGAAAAGCGGAAGCCGAAGCUUCGAGAAUCAUACACAGAUCAUUCUUCAAGCUUCCAUUGCUUCAUCGCCAAGCACUAAGCAGUUCAUCUUCUUCCAUCUCUCUCAAUUCCGAAUUUGUGAACCAAAGCUUCUUCUAGUUCCUUCUCUUCCAUCGGAGUAAUGGCGAGCAGAAGAGCUUCGAAGCUCUCCAGGUCCGCUUUAGCCGCCAUUAAUGGCGCCCCCAAGCUUCCUCAUUCUCGCAUGCCUGCACUGUCGCGUUCUUCAUCUUCUGCUCUUGCUAAUUCCGCCGCUCCUCUCUCUGUGCGCAAGGUUUUCGGUUCCGGACUCGUUCAUGGCGGUUCAAGUCUGGCUUCGGCCAAGUAUUUGGCUACGAUUUUCACUCGCGAUUUUCAUUCCACGUCUCCAUCUCGCUACUCUGCUACGGCUUCUUCUCAGAUUAACCAGUCGGAUUUCACAGAGAUGGCUUGGGAAGGCAUAGUUGGUGCUGUUGAUACUGCAAGGUUAAAUAAACAACAAGUCGUGGAGAGUGAACAUUUGAUGAAAGCGCUUCUUGAACAAAAGGAUGGUUUAGCAAGGAGAAUAUUUGCUAAGGCCGGGCUUGACAACACGUCGGUUUUACAGGCUACCAUUGAUUUUAUAUCUCAACAGCCAAAGGUAAUAGGUGAAACUAGUGGGCCGAUAAUAGGUACACAUCUAAGUUUGAUUUUGGACAAUGCUAGAACACACAAAAAAGAAAUUGGAGACGAUUUUCUUUCGGUGGAGCAUCUUGUGUUAGCCUUCCAUUCAGACAAGAGAUUUGGGCAGCAACUGUUUAAGAACUUGCAACUUAGUGAAAAGGAUUUGAAGGAUGCUGUUUUGGCUGUUCGUGGAAAUCAGAGAGUAACUGAUCAAAAUCCUGAAGGAAAAUAUGAAGCUCUUGACAAGUACGGGACUGACUUGACUGAAUUUGCUAGACGUGGUAAACUUGAUCCUGUUAUAGGAAGAGAUGACGAAAUACGACGGUGCGUCCAAAUUCUAUCAAGGAGAACAAAAAACAAUCCAGUGAUCAUUGGUGAGCCAGGUGUUGGGAAAACUGCAAUUGCUGAAGGAUUAGCUCAACGAAUUGUGCGCGGGGAUGUUCCAGAACCAUUGUUGAAUAGAAAGUUGAUAUCUCUGGACAUGGGUUCACUGGUUGCCGGUGCGAAAUACCGCGGAGAUUUUGAAGAAAGAUUGAAGGCUGUACUGAAAGAAGUUACCGCGUCAAAUGGGCAAAUUAUCUUGUUCAUAGAUGAGAUUCAUACCGUUGUUGGUGCAGGGGCUACGGGUGGUGCCAUGGAUGCUGGCAACCUCUUGAAACCCAUGCUCGGUCGAGGUGAACUUCGCUGUAUCGGUGCAACUACAUUGAAGGAGUAUCGAAAAUACAUCGAGAAAGAUCCAGCUCUUGAACGUAGAUUUCAACAAGUGUUUUGUGGUCAACCAUCUGUUGAAGACACAAUCUCUAUUCUUCGUGGGUUACGAGAGCGCUAUGAGCUGCACCAUGGUGUAAAGAUAUCGGAUAGUGCACUUGUUUCCGCAGCCGUUCUAGCGAGCAGAUACAUCACAGAACGAUUUUUGCCUGACAAAGCCAUUGACCUUGUUGAUGAAGCUGCUGCAAAGUUGAAGAUGGAGAUUACGUCUAAGCCCACCGAGUUGGAUGAGAUUGAUAGAGUUGUUUUAAAGUUGGAGAUGGAGAAGCUAUCCCUAAAAAAUGAUACUGAUAAAGCAAGCAAAGAAAGAUUAAGCAAAUUGGAGCAAGAUUUGAACUCACUCAAGCAAAAACAAAAAGAGUUGACGGAACAAUGGGAUCGUGAAAAGUCUUUUAUGGCUCGUAUACGAUCUAUCAAGGAAGAGAUUGAUAGAGUUAACCUUGAGAUGGAAGCUGCUGAAAGAGAGUUUGAUUUGAAUCGUGCUGCUGAGCUCAAAUAUGGAACUCUCAUAUCCCUUAAUCGCCAAUUGGAAGAGGCUGAAAAGAACCUUCAAGACUUUCGAAAGUCUGGAAUUUCUUUACUUCGUGAAGAGGUCACAGAUCUUGAUAUUGCUGAAAUUGUAAGCAAAUGGACUGGCAUACCCCUAUCAAACCUUCAACAAUCUGAGAGAGAUAAACUAGUUCUACUAGAACAAGUCCUCCACCAAAGAGUGGUUGGUCAAGAUAUCGCAGUAAAAUCAGUUGCAGAUGCCAUUCGACGUUCAAGAGCCGGACUCUCCGAUCCAAAUCGACCAAUAGCUAGUUUCAUGUUCAUGGGACCGACUGGUGUUGGAAAAACUGAGCUUGCAAAAGCUUUGGCAGGUUAUCUUUUUAACACCGAAAAUGCUCUAGUUAGGAUUGAUAUGAGCGAAUACAUGGAGAAGCAUGCUGUAUCCCGUUUGGUUGGGGCACCACCUGGUUAUGUUGGUUAUGAAGAAGGGGGCCAGCUCACUGAAGUGGUUCGUCGAAGGCCUUACUCUGUGGUGCUUUUCGAUGAGAUUGAGAAGGCACAUCACGACGUCUUCAAUAUUUUGCUACAACUACUAGAUGAUGGGAGGAUAACUGACUCACAGGGCAGAACAGUGAGUUUUACAAAUUGUGUGAUGAUAAUGACAUCCAAUAUUGGUUCCCACUACAUCCUUGAAACUCUUAGUAACACAAAAGAUAGUAAAGAUGCAGUUUAUGAGUUGAUGAAAAAACAAGUUGUUGGGUUGGCAAGACAAACUUUUCGGCCAGAGUUUAUGAAUAGAAUUGAUGAAUACAUUGUCUUCCAACCUUUGGACGCUACCCAAAUAUGCAAGAUUGUUGAGAUUCAGAUUAAACGAUUGAGUGAUAGGCUAAAACAGAAGAACAUUAAUCUUCAGUACACUCAAGACGCUCUUGAGCUUCUAGGGAUGUUGGGUUUCGACCCCAAUUAUGGAGCAAGGCCAGUUAAAAGGGUAAUACAACAACUGGUAGAAAAUGAGAUCGCAAUGCAAGUUUUGAGAGGCGAUUUCUCGGAAGAUGACUCGAUACUUCUCGAUGUGGAUGCGUCUCCAUCAGCCAAAGACCUACCUCCCCAAAAAAGAUUGCUGAUCAAGAAAAUAGCGAGCAAUUCUGCCCCAGAUGUUAUGGUUGCCAAUAACUAAUUGCAUGCGGGAUCGAGUAACGUGUAACACAGGCUUCUCAAGAACACAGUUGCCUUCAAACUUGUCGACUUCCCGGCCAUCAGUGACACGUCUUCGAAGUCGAAAAACUGCUUCACCGAAUGAUUGUGGUCGUCGAAAGAGAAAUAACUAAAUUGGUGGGCCUUAGUCGGAGAUAUAUGCCAACUACAAUUGAGUUAUUCUCGAGUUCAUGCCGAUUAUAACAAAAUAUAGUUGAAGACCAGGAAUGGGAGUCCAAUUCAAGUGGGGGUGGCUUUGAUUUAAUUUCCAUCCGUCUCCUAUCAAAAAUUUGACAUUUUAAAAGAUGGAAAAAAAAUCAAUAGGCUCUCUUU